This 253-nucleotide ribosomal RNA is filed under the name uncultured bacterium. RNAcentral's name for it is "partial 16S ribosomal RNA". It matches the Rfam family "Bacterial small subunit ribosomal RNA", at positions 524 to 776 of the family's 1533-position model. The record is from RNAcentral.
UACGUAGGGGGCAAGCGUUGUCCGGAAUCAUUGGGCGUAAAGAGCGUGUAGGCGGCUCGAUAAGUCUGCUGUGAAAGUCCAGGGCUCAACCCUGGAAGGCCGGUGGAAACUGUCGGGCUAGAGUCCGGAAGAGGCGAGUGGAAUUCCCGGUGUAGUGGUGAAAUGCGCAGAUAUCGGGAGGAACACCAAUGGCGAAGGCAGCUCGCUGGGACGGUACUGACGCUGAGGCGCGAAAGCGUGGGGAGCAAACAGG